CUGUGGUUGUGACCAGUUGGAGAGACAUUAGGAGAUGAGAUACUAUGUUCACUCCUCACAGCUGUACCAGGGACCUGAGAUAUUCCAUCACUAUUCUGUGAGAUUUUGGAGAUCCCACCAGUGGUUUUCCGGUGCCAGGGUAUGAGAAGAUAGUCUCCAUGUCCAAACUCACAAUUUAAGAACAAAUUUCAUCAAGAUAAAGGCCUGGGCUGGUGAAUGGUUCCUGCUUUCACUAUUCCAGAUGUCCAGCUCUGUACCUUGCUGCUCUCCUUAAAGCCUGCCUCCAUCUAGAUGGUCUGGCUUGAUGAUAUCCAACCUGACUUGGCCUGAAGAGACAGACAAUGGCUCUUGCUAGCUAAUUAUUGUCAGAUGGAUCAGCAGCCGACCAACGCUUCUGAAACUAUUGUUUUUGGCAAAUGUUCCUCAACAUUUUCCUGGUAUAUAAAUAAUGAUCCCCUGCAGAAA
Molecule: long non-coding RNA, 465 nt
Filed under: Pan troglodytes (chimpanzee)
Lineage: Eukaryota; Metazoa; Chordata; Mammalia; Primates; Hominidae
Description: lincRNA
Source: RNAcentral